RNAcentral lists this ribosomal RNA (464 nucleotides) under uncultured bacterium. RNAcentral describes it as "bacterial SSU rRNA". It matches the Rfam family "Bacterial small subunit ribosomal RNA", at positions 338 to 795 of the family's 1533-position model. The record is from RNAcentral.
CCUACGGGUGGCAGCAGUGGGGAAUAUUGCACAAUGGCGCAAGCCUGAUGUAGCCAUGCCGCGUGUGUGAAGAAGGCCUUCGGGUUGUAAAGCACUUUCAGCGGGGAGGAAGGCGGUGAGGUUAAUAACCUCAUCGAUUGACGCUACCCGCAGAAGAAGCACCGGCUAACUCCGUGCCAGCAGCCGCGGUAAUACGGAGGGUGCAAGCGUUAAUCGGAAUUACUGGGCGUAAAGCGCACGCAGGCGGUCUGUCAAGUCGGAUGUGCAAUCCCCGGGCUCAACCUGGGAACUGCAUUCGAAACUGGCAAGCUAGAGUCUUGUAGAGGGGGGUAGAAUUCCAGGUGUAGCGGUGAAAUGCGUAGAGAUCUGGAGGAAUACCGGUGGCGAAGGCGGCCCCCUGGACAAAGACUGACGCUCAGGUGCGAAAGCGUGGGGAGCAAACAGGAUUAGAUACCCUAGUAGUC